Molecule: small RNA, 292 nt
Filed under: uncultured Caulobacter sp.
Lineage: Bacteria; Pseudomonadati; Pseudomonadota; Alphaproteobacteria; Caulobacterales; Caulobacteraceae
Description: caulobacter sRNA CC2171
Rfam family: caulobacter sRNA CC2171
Source: RNAcentral
CAACUACUGAAAGGAGGUGAUCUAGUGUCUCAUUGUCUCCAACCGCGGUCGCAAGUGGUGACCUGGAGCCUUAAGAGCGAGGUUUCCGCCUAGAGCGUGGCAGCCAAAAGUGUGAGCGGUUUUGGCGUCAGCCACGCUCUAAACUUUUGAGUCUGAGCCUGCUGAUCCGUUUCGGACGUUCCGUCCGAAAAGGGCAGGCUCCGGGCGUUGAACGCCAAAGGUUCUGAGUCACACGCUGCUUGCGAAAGCGGCCACGACGAUGGAGGGCCGUCCCGAGCAAUCGGGGCGGCCC